GACGAACCGUGCGAACGUUGUUCGGAUUCACUGGGCUUAAAGGGCGCGUAGGCGGGCGGUCAAGUCAGGGGUGAAAUCUUUCAGCUCAACUGGAAAAGUGCCUCUGAUACUGACUGUCUCGAGGGAGGUAGGGGCAUGUGGAACUUCCGGUGGAGCGGUGAAAUGCGUAGAUAUCGGAAGGAACGCCGGUGGCGAAAGCGACGUGCUGGACCUCUUCUGACGCUGAGGCGCGAAAGCUAGGGGAGCAAACGGG
RNAcentral lists this ribosomal RNA (253 nucleotides) under uncultured bacterium. RNAcentral describes it as "partial 16S ribosomal RNA". It matches the Rfam family "Bacterial small subunit ribosomal RNA", at positions 524 to 776 of the family's 1533-position model. The record is from RNAcentral.